AGUGAACGCUGGCGGUAGGCCUAACACAUGCAAGUCGAACGGCAGCAGAAUAAGAGCUUGCUCUUACGAGUGGCGAGCGGCGGAGUGGUGCGGGAUACACCGGAACCUACUUUUUCGUGGGGGAUAACGUACGGAGACUUACACUCAUACCUCAUACGACCUACCGUUGAAAGCAGGAGAACUUUGGACCUUGGGGGAUUGAGUGAGCCGGCGGCCUGUUAGCUAGUUGGUGGGGUAGAGGCCUACCAAGGCAAUGAUGGGUAGCUGGGUUGAGAGACCGAGCAGCCAGAUUGGGACUGAGACACGGCCCAGACUCCUACGGGAGGCAGCAGUGGGGAAUCUUGCACAAUGGGCGAAAGCCUGAUGCAGCGACGCCGCGGGCGGGACGAAGGCCUUCGGGUUGUAAACCGCUUUCAGCAGGGACGAGGCGAUAAGUGACGGUACCUGCAGAAGAAGCCCCGGCUAACUACGUG
Molecule: ribosomal RNA, 473 nt
Filed under: uncultured bacterium
Lineage: Bacteria
Description: partial 16S ribosomal RNA
Rfam family: Bacterial small subunit ribosomal RNA
Source: RNAcentral